Molecule: ribosomal RNA, 425 nt
Filed under: Nephropsis grandis
Lineage: Eukaryota; Metazoa; Arthropoda; Malacostraca; Decapoda; Nephropidae
Description: partial large subunit ribosomal RNA
Rfam family: Bacterial large subunit ribosomal RNA
Source: RNAcentral
AUUAGGCUUUUAAUUGGGGUCUUGUAUGAAUGGCCGGACAAGAAGCUAACUGUCUCGAGAGUAAAAAUUGAAAUUGACUUUCAGGUGAAAAGGCUUGAAUAUUUUAAAGGGACGAUAAGACCCUAUAAAGCUUAAUAAUUUAUAUAUAUUUAGAUAAUUUAUUAGUAUAAUAUAAUUUAAUUUAUAAAUUAUUUCGUUGGGGCGACGGUAAUAUAAUUUGUAACUGUUUAAGUAUUUAAUUCAAAAAUAUUUGUGUUUAGUGAUCUGUUAUUGACAAUUAAAAGUUAAAGUUACUUUAGGGAUAACAGCGUUAUUUAUUUUGAGAGUUCAUAUCGACAAAGAAGUUUGCGACCUCGAUGUUGAAUUAAAAUUUUAUCGUGGCGUAGCAGUUAAGAUAGUAGGUCUGUUCGACCUUUAAAAUUUUA